Molecule: unclassified non-coding RNA, 332 nt
Filed under: soil metagenome
Description: partial contains 5.8S ribosomal RNA, internal transcribed spacer 2, and large subunit ribosomal RNA
Rfam family: 5.8S ribosomal RNA (bases 1-120)
Source: RNAcentral
GAUGAAGAACGUAGCAAAAUGCGAUAAGUAAUGUGAAUUGCAGAAUUCAGUGAAUCAUCGAAUCUUUGAACGCACAUUGCGCCCGCCAGUAUUCUGGCGGGCAUGCCUGUUCGAGCGUCAUUUCAACCCUCAAGCACAGCUUGGUGUUGGGACUCGCGAUAAUUCGCGUUCCUCAAAUUGAUUGGCGGUCACGUCGAGCUUCCAUAGCGUAGUAGUAAAACCCUCGUUACUGGUAAUCGUCGCGGCCACGCCGUUAAACCCCAACUUCUGAAUGUUGACCUCGGAUCAGGUAGGAAUACCCGCUGAACUUAAGCAUAUCAAUAAGCGGAGGA